This 253-nucleotide ribosomal RNA is filed under the name uncultured prokaryote. RNAcentral's name for it is "partial 16S ribosomal RNA". It matches the Rfam family "Bacterial small subunit ribosomal RNA", at positions 525 to 777 of the family's 1533-position model. The record is from RNAcentral.
ACGUAGGGGGCUAGCGUUGUCCGGAAUCAUUGGGCGUAAAGCGCGCGUAGGCGGCCCGGUGAGUCCGUUGUAAAAGUCAAAGGCUCAACCUUUGAAAGCCGAUGGAUACUGCCGGGCUAGAGUCCGGAAGAGGCGAGUAGAAUUCCUGGUGUAGCGGUGGAAUGCGCAGAUAUCAGGAGGAAUACCCAUAGCGAAGGCAGCUCGCUGGGACGGUACUGACGCUAAGGCGCGAAAGCGUGGGGAGCGAACAGGA